RNAcentral lists this ribosomal RNA (429 nucleotides) under Gemmatimonadota bacterium. Its description in RNAcentral is "Gemmatimonadetes bacterium partial 16S ribosomal RNA". It matches the Rfam family "Bacterial small subunit ribosomal RNA", at positions 355 to 776 of the family's 1533-position model. The record is from RNAcentral. Lineage: Bacteria; Pseudomonadati; Gemmatimonadota.
UAGGGAAUCUUCGGCAAUGGACGAAAGUCUGACCGAGCAACGCCGCGUGAGUGAAGAAGGUUUUCGGAUCGUAAAACUCUGUUGUUAGAGAAGAACAAGGACGUUAGUAACUGAACGUCCCCUGACGGUAUCUAACCAGAAAGCCACGGCUAACUACGUGCCAGCAGCCGCGGUAAUACGUAGGUGGCAAGCGUCGUCCGGUAUUAUUGGGCGUAAAGCGAGCGCAGGCGGUUUCUUAAGUCUGAUGUGAAAGCCCCCGGCUCAACCGGGGAGGGUCAUUAGAAACUGGGAGACUUGAGUGCAGAAGAGGAGAGUGGAAUUCCAUGUGUAGCAGUAAAAUGCGUAGAUAUAUGGAGGAACACCAGUGGCGAAGGCGGCUCUCUGGUCUGUAACUGACGCAGAGGCUCGAAAGCGUGGGGAUCAAACAGG